Molecule: non-coding RNA, 669 nt
Organism: Salvelinus sp. IW2-2015
Lineage: Eukaryota; Metazoa; Chordata; Actinopteri; Salmoniformes; Salmonidae
Source: RefSeq, a predicted model, not a curated record
CUUACAUUUUGUUAAAGGAUUCCACAGAUGCUCCCUUACUGUCAAUGGAAAAGCAAGGGGAGUUUGAAAUCACAACAGAAAGCACACUACAUGGAAUGAGCAAAGAGAGUGGCCAGACAACUUUAGGUCCAUAUCCAUCCCAGUCACCGGGAGACAGCGAAAAGCAGGGGGAAUUCAUCACACCUAUCCUUCCCAGCACAACGGAAGAAACAGAGAAGGACCUUUCCUAAAUCCAGAAAGAUUGAGACUGUAGAUUUGUAAGCAAGAGUGUUUUGUUAAACUGUGAAGUGUUCGCUGGUGAGGAGCAGUCUACCCUUAACCUGACCAGCAUAAAAUGAGGAGGGACUUCGCUUCGUCGCGCAAUGAUGAUGUAAUUUGUCCAAUGUCACUCGUCCAAUGCCACUUCUAUGACCAGAUGGUGUUUUAUACUUAAUCCAAGUACCUAAAAGAUGAACAAUACAUAGGUAAGCUAAGUUAAAUCAAGACAGUGUAUUAUAUAAGGAUUAUUGGACUAAUAAAUUCUUCCAUCAGAUGUCAGUGUUAUUUUAGCAUUGACUUUGCAUCAACUAACUUAUUUAUGAAAGAAGUUCAAAAUGUUACAUUGGACCUGAGCUAUAAGUAUAGCUUCUCUCUGUCGCUUCAGUAUUACACAACGUUUUUACCACUCGU